CAAUAACAUAUGAGGCAUAAUUUAUCCACAUGCUCACCAACACUUAUCAUUGUUGAGAGCCACAGCCGAAGGGGCCCCAGCAAACUUUCAGACUGCCAGCUGAUGAUUGGCUCACAGCGGCCCCAGCAACUUCUAGCUGAUUGGCUCCUCUGCGGUGAUGCUCAUUGGGCUGUUUCCCUGCCCUUUCAGACUACGGAGCUGCUCAUUGGGGGACUUUUUUGGCUCCGCCCACACGACCCAGCCAAUCGGCCUCAAGAGCAGGAGGAGUGGGGGAGGUU
This 278-nucleotide long non-coding RNA is filed under the name Marmota monax (woodchuck). The record is from RNAcentral. Lineage: Eukaryota; Metazoa; Chordata; Mammalia; Rodentia; Sciuridae.